Molecule: ribosomal RNA, 1429 nt
Filed under: uncultured Coxiella sp.
Lineage: Bacteria; Pseudomonadati; Pseudomonadota; Gammaproteobacteria; Legionellales; Coxiellaceae
Description: bacterial SSU rRNA
Rfam family: Bacterial small subunit ribosomal RNA
Source: RNAcentral
UGCUUAACACAUGCAAGUCGAACGGCAGAGCGGGGAGCUUAUGCUCCCUGGCGGCGAGUGGCGGACGGGUGAGUAAUACGUAGGAAUUCCACCUUUUAUAGAGGGGGACAAACCCGGGGAAACUCGGGCUAAUAACUGCAUGAUCUCUAUGGAGUAAAGCGGGGGAUCUUCUGACCCUCGCGCCAUAAGAUGAGCCUAUGUCGGAUUAGCUUGUUGGUGGGGUAAUUGCCUACCAAGGCGACGAUCCGUAGCUGGUCUGAGAGGAUGAUCAGCCACACUGGGGACUGAGACACGGCCCGGACUCCUACGGGAGGCAGCAGUGGGGAAUCUUGACAAUGGGGAAACCCCAUCCAGCAAUGCCGCGUGUGUGCAGAAGGCCCUCGGUUGUAAAGCACUUUCAGUAGGGAAGAAAUUUCGCAGUAAUAUACUUGAGCGUUGACGUUACCUACAGAAGAAGCACUGGCUAACUCUGUGCCAGCAGCCGCGGUAAUACAGAGGCGAGUUAAUCGGAAUCACUGGGCGUAAAGAGCGCGUAGGUAUAUUGCCGGAUGUGAAAGCCCUAGGCUUAACCUAGGAACUGCACUCGAUACUGGAUAUCUCGAGGGUAGAGUGAAGUGGCACUUGCGUAGCGGUGAAAUGCGUAGAUAUCGGAAAGAACAAUUGCGGCGAAGGCGGCUUCCUGACCAAUACUGACACUGAGGCAGCAAGCAAACAGGAUUAGAGACCCUGGUAGCCCACGCCGUCAAUUACGAGAACUAGCUGUUGGAGAGUUUACUUUCUAGUAAAGAAGCUAACGCGUUAAGUUCUCCGCCUGGGAGCAUACCGCAAGGUUAAAACCUCAAAGAAAUUGACGGGGGCCCGCACAAGCGGUGGAGCAUGUGGUUUAAUUCGAUGCAACGCGAAAACCUUACCUACCCUUGACAUCCCUCAGAACUUGUCAGAAAUGACUUGGUGCUCAAACUGAGUGACAGGUGCUGCAUGGCUGUCGUCAGCUCGUGUCGUGAGAUGUUGGGUUAAGUCCCGUAACGAGUGCAACCUCGUCCUGGUUGCCAGCGGUUCGGUCGGGAACUCUGCUGAGACUGCCGGUGAUAAACCGGAGGAAAGGUGGGGAUGAUGUCAGUCAUCAUGGCCCUUACGGGUAGGGCUACACACGUGCUACAAAUGGCAGGCAUGUAUAUUGCCAAACCAUAAGGUGGAGCCAAUCCCAAAAACUGCUCUUAGUCCGGAUUGAAGUCUGCAACUCGACUUCAGGAGCUGGAAUGCUAGUAAUCGCGAAUCAGAAUGUCGCGGUGAAAUACGUUCUCGCCUUGUACACACCGCCCGUCACACCAUGGGAGUGAAUUGUACCAGAAGCGGUAGGCUAACCUUCAGUGGAGGCCGCUCACCACGGUGUGGUUCAUGACUGGGGUGUAGUCGUAACAAGGUAACC